This 870-nucleotide ribosomal RNA is filed under the name uncultured archaeon. RNAcentral describes it as "bacterial SSU rRNA". It matches the Rfam family "Archaeal small subunit ribosomal RNA", at positions 4 to 882 of the family's 1478-position model. The record is from RNAcentral.
CUGGUUGAUCCUGCCAGACCCGACUGCUAUCGGAUUGGGACUAAGCCAUGCGAGUCAACUCCGCAAAGGGUGGCGCACGGCUCAGUAACACGUAGUCAACCUACCCUGGGGACGGGGAUAACCUCGGGAAACUGAGGCUAAACCCCGAUGGGCCAUGGCUCCUGGAAUGAGCUAUGGCUGAAAUCUACAUGGCCCCAGGAUGGGACUGCGGCCGAUCAGGUUGUUGGUGGGGUAAUGGCCCACCAAGCCUAUAACCGGUGCGGGCUCUGAGAGGAGGAGCCCGGAGAUGGGCACUGAGACAAGGGCCCAGGUCCUAUGGGGCGCAGCAGGCGCGAAACCUCCGCAAUGGGCGAAAGCCCGACGGGGUCAGUCCGAGUGGUUCCCGCUGAGGGAACCUUUUGCCAGCUGUAAACAGGCUGGCGAAUAAGGGGUGGGCAAGUUUGGUGUCAGCCGCCGCGGUAAUACCAGCACCCCGAGUGGUCGGGACGAUUAUUGGGCCUAAAGCAUCCGUAGCCGGCCCAGUAAGUCCUCCGUUAAAUCCAACGGCUCAACCGUUGGGCUGCGGGGGAUACUGCUGGGCUAGGGGACGGGAGAGGCGAGGGGUAUUCCCGGGGUAGGGGUAAAAUCCACUGAUCCCGGGAGGACCACCAGUGGCGAAGGCGCCUCGCUAGAACGUGCCCGACGGUGAGGGAUGAAAGCUGGGGGAGCGAACCGGAUUAGAUACCCGGGUAGUCCCAGCCGUAAACGAUGUAGGCUCGGUGUUGGGCUGCCUCAGUGGCAGCCCAGUGCCGCAGGGAAGCCGUUAAGCCUACCGCCUGGGGAGUACGGCCGCAAGGCUGAAACUUAAAGGAAUUGGCGGGGGAGCACCAC